RNAcentral lists this ribosomal RNA (301 nucleotides) under uncultured bacterium. RNAcentral's name for it is "partial 16S ribosomal RNA". It matches the Rfam family "Bacterial small subunit ribosomal RNA", at positions 509 to 807 of the family's 1533-position model. The record is from RNAcentral.
CAGUAGCCGCGGUAAUACGGAGGGGGCUAGCGUUGUUCGGAAUUACUGGGCGUAAAGCGCACGUAGGCGGAUCGAUCAGUCAGGGGUGAAAUCCCAGGGCUCAACCCUGGAACUGCCUUUGAUACUGUCGAUCUGGAGUAUGGAAGAGGUGAGUGGAAUUCCGAGUGUAGAGGUGAAAUUCGUAGAUAUUCGGAAGAACACCAGUGGCGAAGGCGGCUUACUGGCUCAUACUGGACGCUGAGGUGCGAAAGCGUGGGGAGCAAACAGGAUUAGAUACCCCCGUAGUCCCUGUCUCUUAUAC